AGUGCUUUUUUGCAAACGGGGGCCUUCUUUUCAACGGCCUCCGCUAGACAUUAUGGCAGUUUGUAGCGAUUUGGGAAACCGCCAACACCAUAUUAUAUCGUAAAAAAUGCGGAGGCUACUAGUACGGUGGAACAUAC
This is a non-coding RNA of Caenorhabditis elegans, 137 nucleotides long. The record is from Ensembl. NCBI's taxonomy places the organism in Eukaryota, Metazoa, Nematoda, Chromadorea, Rhabditida, Rhabditidae.